UGGAGAGUUGUCCGAGAGGCCGAAGGAGCAUGAUUGGAAAUCAUGUAGGCGGUAAACACUGUCUCAAGGGUUCGAAUCCCUUACUCUCCGUUUC
RNAcentral lists this transfer RNA (94 nucleotides) under Enterococcus faecalis PC1.1. Its description in RNAcentral is "tRNA-Ser". It matches the Rfam family "tRNA". From Rfam's summary of the family: Transfer RNA (tRNA) molecules are approximately 80 nucleotides in length. Their secondary structure includes four short double-helical elements and three loops (D, anti-codon, and T loops). Lineage: Bacteria; Bacillati; Bacillota; Bacilli; Lactobacillales; Enterococcaceae. The record is from RNAcentral.